Molecule: unclassified non-coding RNA, 300 nt
Filed under: fungal sp.
Lineage: Eukaryota; Fungi
Description: partial contains small subunit ribosomal RNA and internal transcribed spacer 1
Rfam family: Eukaryotic small subunit ribosomal RNA (bases 1-46)
Source: RNAcentral
AAGUCGUAACAAGGUUUCCGUAGGUGAACCUGCGGAAGGAUCAUUACCGAGUAAAAAGCCGUAUGAAAAAAGACGGCUUUAUACACAUUUCAACCCUUGUGAACUUUCCUGUUGCUUUGGUGGGACAUCAAUUUUAGAAACUUUUCUGUUGUUUUUUUGGCUUACGUCAAAAUGAUGGAAAUGUUAUAAGUUGGCUUGAAAGGAUUUUGGUCUUUUCAGGAGUGCCCGCCAAAGGUUUUACAAAUGAUUCUUUAAUGUUGUUUUUUUUCUUAUAUAAAAAAUUUAAAUUUAAUAAAACUU